AACUUUCUGAAUCUGUGUCAAUAUUUUGUCAGAAACCAAUCCACAUUCACGGAUAAGACUUUCAAGAUAAGUGAAGUG
Schistosoma mattheei is the source of this 78-nucleotide non-coding RNA. The record is from Rfam. Lineage: Eukaryota; Metazoa; Platyhelminthes; Trematoda; Strigeidida; Schistosomatidae.